UAAGAUGUACUAGGCUAAAAUUUAAAUGAGCAAAAUAGAAUUAAAGGAGAUUGUGAGAGUUGAAUUAACUAAUAAUUCAUUUUCUUUGCAGUCAUUUUCUCGUCUCUUUAUUUAUUUUUUCUCUUUUUUUCUAGAAGGAAUACGAUAAGAAUAUAAAUUAUCUUCCUUCCUUCUUUUCUUUUUCUAUUUUUUGUUCUUUUUCUAUUUUUUUCCUUUUUCUAUUUUCUGCCAACUUUUGAAUGAAAUAACAACUAUAAUUAUUCAACCCCACACAACUCCAAACAGGACUCUUUCAACCCUUUGAACAGGGUGAUAACAUAGUUUUUCACUUUUAGACUUGUAAUGAGUUAUAA
RNAcentral lists this long non-coding RNA (353 nucleotides) under Lathyrus oleraceus (garden pea). Its description in RNAcentral is "Pisum sativum (pea) long non-coding RNA (PSAT_LNC028348)". Lineage: Eukaryota; Viridiplantae; Streptophyta; Magnoliopsida; Fabales; Fabaceae. The record is from RNAcentral.